Molecule: long non-coding RNA, 613 nt
Filed under: Homo sapiens (human)
Lineage: Eukaryota; Metazoa; Chordata; Mammalia; Primates; Hominidae
Description: HSALNT0401916
Source: RNAcentral
CAGUGCUGUUUAUGUUGGCCAGCACCCAAUAAGCAAAUAAUGGGAAAUUGAUUAUUGAUUAUUUCCUCAUUCCCAAGUGAAAAGGAGAAAGGUAUCUCUAUUGGAGAUGAACGCAUGUUCAAUACACGUGGCCUGCCUGAGUCAUUAGCAAAGUGUCCAACAACUCUGAGGCGUAUCCUCAAAUGAAGCCUUGUCUCUGUGAAAUUCCUGGUAAGAGAAGUUGAGGCAUCAAUAGUGGAUCAGGAGGUAUUUUUAGGGGAAGAGGAGUCUCAGUAUUCAUGGAACUCAAUGAGACCUCCACCUACACAAGGCCAAGGCUGCAUAUGGAUGUAGAGAAAUAAAACUCAGAUGUUGAAAAGUAUCUGAAGAGAUGAUAGCAAAGGGAAAUUAUCUUUUAUCUUUCAGAUAAAUCGUCAUUUUAUGGAAUGCCACAGGAAGAAGUUUUCUUUACAAGUUCUGAAGACUUGUGAUGAAUGAGUCCAUAGUUUCACCUUUGAAAAUGUCCCUGGGAGUGUCAACCCCAUCACUUUUACUUAUAUUACACUCAUAAUCAGUUCAUCUCGCCAAGAAAAAUAAUAUUAUCCUCAUGCCCAAACUUGUGACUUGAUUUGAA